UAGACAUUUACCACUCAUAAGCAUUCGCUAUUUAUCAUGAGAAAUGGAAACUCACCAAUCUAUCGAAAAUAUUACUUAUUGGAAAGCAAAUGAUAGCUACUUGUACAUUUUAUGCCUUUGAAACUAUAAGGUGGAUACGGGCGGACGUAGAGAUCAAGUCAUUACUAUACUCUGCAAGAGGUUAGCAACGAUUGACAUCAUUGGAGUAAAUUUUAAAUUGAUGUACUCAUUGUGGGUGAUGAGUUGUUAGUCCACACAACAGGUGCAGUUUAUCAAUUUUAUGUAUAGUGACUUUGCAUAUUAAACUUUGAUAAAGAUCACAUGGGCCGUGAUAAAUUAGCUUGAGAUUCAUAUCCUUUGAUAUACAUAUGUAUAAAGAUGUACAACAUAAUGAAAGAUAGUUCCUUAUUACGCGUGGACAAAUUAGGAUGCAAAUUCUUAUGGGUCUUGUUUUAAUCCAAAAAAUUAAUUCCUUGUUCAUGUCUACUAAGUUCAAUUGAAACU
RNAcentral lists this long non-coding RNA (504 nucleotides) under Eucalyptus grandis. Its description in RNAcentral is "long non-coding RNA (EGRA_LNC007733)". Lineage: Eukaryota; Viridiplantae; Streptophyta; Magnoliopsida; Myrtales; Myrtaceae. The record is from RNAcentral.